This 459-nucleotide ribosomal RNA is filed under the name uncultured bacterium. RNAcentral's name for it is "partial 16S ribosomal RNA". It matches the Rfam family "Bacterial small subunit ribosomal RNA", at positions 338 to 795 of the family's 1533-position model. The record is from RNAcentral.
CCUACGGGGGGCUGCAGUGAGGAAUAUUGGUCAAUGGGCGGGAGCCUGAACCAGCCAAGCCGCGUGAGGGAAGAAGGUACAGCGUAUCGUAAACCUCUUUUGUCAGGGAACAAAGGCGGGGACUAGUCCCCGGAUGAGGGUACCUGAAGAAAAAGCAUCGGCUAAAUCCGUGCCAGCAGCCGCGGUAAUACGGAGGAUGCGAGCGUUAUCCGGAUUUAUUGGGUUUAACGGGUGCGUAGGCGGAUUUUUAAGUCAGCGGUAAAAUGUCCGGGCUCAACCCGGGCCGGCCGUUGAAACUGGGGAUCUUGAGUGGGCGAGAGGUAUGCGGAAUGCGUGGUGUAGCGGUGAAAUGCAUAGAUAUCACGCAGAACUCCGAUUGCGAAGGCAGCAUACCGGCGCCCGACUGACGCUGAGGCACGAAAGCGUGGGGAUCGAACAGGAUUAGAUACCCUUGUAGUC